This 76-nucleotide transfer RNA is filed under the name Geobacter sulfurreducens. RNAcentral describes it as "tRNA-Thr (TGT) (tRNA-Thr-TGT-1-1)". It matches the Rfam family "tRNA". From Rfam's summary of the family: Transfer RNA (tRNA) molecules are approximately 80 nucleotides in length. RNAcentral also lists the same sequence under 14 other names. Lineage: Bacteria; Pseudomonadati; Thermodesulfobacteriota; Desulfuromonadia; Geobacterales; Geobacteraceae. The record is from RNAcentral.
GCUGGCGUAGCUCAACUGGUAGAGCAGCUGACUUGUAAUCAGCAGGUUGCGGGUUCAAGUCCUGUCGCCAGCUCCA